Molecule: non-coding RNA, 1229 nt
Organism: Vicugna pacos (alpaca)
Lineage: Eukaryota; Metazoa; Chordata; Mammalia; Artiodactyla; Camelidae
Source: RefSeq, a predicted model, not a curated record
GCUAGACCCUUCUAGACCUUUUGUACUGAAGGGAACAGAACUGAGUUCCUGGCAGAAGGCCAGCCCCUUCCCCCAACACUUGCCAACAAACAGCCAGAGAGAUCUUGAAUGAAGAACAGCAAGGUGGAGAACUCACCAAGUUCGGGCAGCAGAGGCCUUUUCUGACUUCUCUGAUGAGCCCCAGAGGAAACGGAGGGGGAACCCUUACUUUCCUAGCACUGAUAGGCAAAGUUGUCAGAGGAAGCCCUUGUGAAGAAACACAGUGAGAUCAGGAGACCAGAACAGAAGAGGCAGUGGGGCUGGCAGAAGGGACAAGUGCCAGGGGACCGGCCUUCCCUGCAACAUUCCAGCGUCCUCUGCCAAGGCUGUGUGUGUGGCCCAUCCUGGGGCAGACUCACGUAGAGGUACUGUCAGAGGCUAAGGCCCAGCCAGCACAAAGGAGAGAGGUGCACGGGCUCAGGUGGAGAAACGCAGAUUGACUUGUGGCCUUUCUUCCACGUGCCAGAGAAGAUGAGCAGACACAGUGGAUGGGGUGGCUGUGUGUGUCUGUUAUUAUAAACAGCAGGUCCCAAGCACUGGGCUUACCACUUCACACACUUCUAUCUUAGUCCUCACAGCAGCCCUGCUGAGGGCACUGAGACAAUUCAAUCAAGGAAAUUCAGUGACCAUGAUAACAGGGCAGCACAUACCUCGCUGAGUUCAGGGAAAUUGUCCUGUUGACAGAAGGGGCACUGCCAUAGCCCUGUCUCAUCAUUGCGGAUUGCCUGGUCAUAGCUCUCACCCUGUGGACGCCUGUGGGCAAUGCCAGUGACGUUGCAGAUGAUAAGCUUUCCUGGAGGAAGGGGAGAGGAGAAGGGAAGAAAACAGGGAGCAGGCUAAGAGAACUGGAGAGGUGAUUCCUUCCCACCAACCCAUAGAACACGUGUCUUAGAGCAUCUCUACUGAUUUUCGUCACACCCUUGAAAAGGGAGAUCAUUUGAUGCGGGGGAAAUGAGGCCAUAGAUUGACCCCAUGAAGAUCCCACAGCAGCAGGUUAAAAGCAUAUCUGACCUUGAACUCAACUUUGACUUCCAGUUCAGGACUCCUAAUCUUCUUAAAAGCUCCCCUGGUCUUUGAGUACAAACCUGCCUCAUUCUGUUGGAAUUAUUGCUUGGUUUGAAUGUACAAUAAAUGCAUCCCCUCACCCCUCUAUGUCCUCCUCCCACUGAAAAACAGAAUUUACCAAUGUA